This 774-nucleotide ribosomal RNA is filed under the name uncultured Neocallimastigales. RNAcentral describes it as "partial large subunit ribosomal RNA". It matches the Rfam family "Eukaryotic large subunit ribosomal RNA", at positions 26 to 634 of the family's 3401-position model. Lineage: Eukaryota; Fungi; Neocallimastigomycota; Neocallimastigomycetes; Neocallimastigales. The record is from RNAcentral.
CGCAUCUGUGCAUGCAGCAUAUCAAUAAGCGGAGGAAAAGAAACUAACAAGGAUUCCCCUAGUAACGGCGAGUGAAGCGGGAGGAGCUCAAAUUUGAAAUCUUAAAGGGUUUCCCUUUACGAAUUGUAGUUUAAAGAAGUGUUUUCUGUUGAGGUUUUGGUAAAAGUUCUUUGGAAUAGGACAUCAUAGAGGGUGAGAAUCCCGUAUUUGACCUUUACUUUCAACUUUGUGAUACACUUUCAAAGAGUCGGAUUGUUUGGGAAUGCAGUCCAAAAUGGGUGGUAAAUUUCAUCUAAAGCUAAAUAUUGGCGAGAGACCGAUAGCGAACAAGUACCGUGAGGGAAAGAUGAAAAGAACUUUGAAAAGAGAGUUAAACAGUACGUGAAAUUGUCAAAAGGGAAGCGUUUGACACCAGUGUUGUUUUUCUGAAAAUCAAUUAAAGAACUGUUUAUGCUAAGUUGUUUAGACUUUAUCAGCUAUCUGUUUAGUUUUGAGCUUUUCUUUAAUGCACUUUUCAGUUAACAAGUCAACAUCAAUUUCUUUUGCUGUAAAAAAGCUUGAGGAAGGUGGCUUGAGAUUCGUCUUAAGUGUUUAUAGCCUCUUGCCUAUGCAGUCGGAGAGAUUGAGGUCUGCAGCGUAGAUCCUUCGGGGCUAAAUGCAUUUGUGCUAAGUUAUAGCAUUUCAUAGACAACUUGUUGACUAUGAUUUGUCUUGUAGCUUACUCGCUUAUGUUAUUUUACCUACGCUUAGGAUGUUGACAGCAGUAUAGACUGU